RNAcentral lists this ribosomal RNA (253 nucleotides) under uncultured bacterium. RNAcentral's name for it is "partial 16S ribosomal RNA". It matches the Rfam family "Bacterial small subunit ribosomal RNA", at positions 524 to 776 of the family's 1533-position model. The record is from RNAcentral.
UACGGAGGGUGCGAGCGUUGUCCGGAAUCACUGGGCGUAAAGGGCGCGUAGGCGGCUCAUGAAGGCUGUGGUGAAAGUCCGGGGCUCAACCUCGGAUCGGCCGUGGCGACUCGUGGGCUGGAGCACUGUAGAGGCGGGUGGAAUUCCGGGUGUAGCGGUGGAAUGCGUAGAGAUCCGGAAGAACACCAGUAGCGAAGGCAGCUCGCUGGGACGUUACUGACACUGAGGCGCGAAAGCGUGGGGAGCGAACAGG